CACUAUCGUUAACUGAAUACAUAGGUUAACGAGGCGAACCGGGGGAACUGAAACAUCUAAGUACCCCGAGGAAAAGAAAUCAACCGAGAUUCCCCCAGUAGCGGCGAGCGAACGGGGAGCAGCCCAGAGUCUGAAUCAGCUUGUGUGUUAGUGGAACGGUCUGGAAAGUCCGACGGUACAGGGUGAUAGUCCCGUACACCAAAAUGCACAGGCUGUGAACUCGAAGAGUAGGGCGGGACACGUGGUAUCCUGUCUGAAUAUGGGGGGACCAUCCUCCAAGGCUAAAUACUCCUGACUGACCGAUAGUGAACCAGUACCGUGAGGGAAAGGCGAAAAGAACCCCGGCGAGGGGAGUGAAAAAGAACCUGAAACCGUGUACGUACAAGCAGUGGGAGCACCUUCGGGUGUGACUGCGUACCUUUUGUAUAAUGGGUCAGCGACUUAUAUUCUGUAGCAAGGUUAACCGUAUAGGGGAGCCGCAGGGAAACCGAGUCUUAACUGGGCGUUAAGUUGCAGGGUAUAGACCCGAAACCCGGUGAUCUAGCCAUGGGCAGGUUGAAGGUUGGGUAACACUAACUGGAGGACCGAACCGACUAAUGUUGAAAAAUUAGCGGAUGACUUGUGGCUGGGGGUGAAAGGCCAAUCAAACCGGGAGAUAGCUGGUUCUCCCCGAAAGCUAUUUAGGUAGCGCCUCGUGAAUUCAUCUUCGGGGGUAGAGCACUGUUUCGGCUAGGGGGUCAUCCCGACUUACCAACCCGAUGCAAACUACGAAUACCGAAGAAUGUUAUCACGGGAGACACACGGCGGGUGCUAACGUCCGUCGUGAAGAGGGAAACAACCCAGACCGCCAGCUAAGGUCCCAAAGUCAUGGUUAAGUGGGAAACGAUGUGGGAAGGCACAGACAGCCAGGAUGUUGGCUUAGAAGCAGCCAUCAUUUAAAGAAAGCGUAAUAGCUCACUGGUCGAGUCGGCCUGCGCGGAAGAUGUAACGGGGCUAAACCAUGCACCGAAGCUGCGGCAGCGACACUAUGUGUUGUUGGGUAGGGGAGCGUUCUGUAAGCCUGCGAAGGUGACCUGUGAGGGUUGCUGGAGGUAUCAGAAGUGCGAAUGCUGACAUAAGUAACGAUAAAGCGGGUGAAAAGCCCGCUCGCCGGAAGACCAAGGGUUCCUGUCCAACGUUAAUCGGGGCAGGGUGAGUCGACCCCUAAGGCGAGGCCGAAAGGCGUAGUCGAUGGGAAACAGGUUAAUAUUCCUGUACUUGGUGUUACUGCGAAGGGGGGACGGAGAAGGCUAUGUUAGCCGGGCGACGGUUGUCCCGGUUUAAGCAUGUAGGCGGAGGUUCCAGGUAAAUCCGGUACCUUUUAACGCUGAGGUGUGAUGACGAGGCACUACGGUGCUGAAGUAACAAAUGCCCUGCUUCCAGGAAAAGCCUCUAAGCAUCAGGUAACAUCAAAUCGUACCCCAAACCGACACAGGUGGUCAGGUAGAGAAUACCAAGGCGCUUGAGAGAACUCGGGUGAAGGAACUAGGCAAAAUGGUGCCGUAACUUCGGGAGAAGGCACGCUGGUGUGUAGGUGAAGUCCCUGCGGACGGAGCUGAGACCAGUCGAAGAUACCAGCUGGCUGCAACUGUUUAUUAAAAACACAGCACUGUGCAAACACGAAAGUGGACGUAUACGGUGUGACGCCUGCCCGGUGCCGGAAGGUUAAUUGAUGGGGUUAUCCGUAAGGAGAAGCUCUUGAUCGAAGCCCCGGUAAACGGCGGCCGUAACUAUAACGGUCCUAAGGUAGCGAAAUUCCUUGUCGGGUAAGUUCCGACCUGCACGAAUGGCGUAAUGAUGGCCAGGCUGUCUCCACCCGAGACUCAGUGAAAUUGAACUCGCUGUGAAGAUGCAGUGUACCCGCGGCAAGACGGAAAGACCCCGUGAACCUUUACUAUAGCUUGACACUGAACAUUGAGCCUUGAUGUGUAGGAUAGGUGGGAGGCUUUGAAGCGUGGACGCCAGUCUGCGUGGAGCCAACCUUGAAAUACCACCCUUUAAUGUUUGAUGUUCUAACGUUGGCCCCUUAUCGGGGUUGCGGACAGUGUCUGGUGGGUAGUUUGACUGGGGCGGUCUCCUCCCAAAGAGUAACGGAGGAGCACGAAGGUUAGCUAAUCCUGGUCGGACAUCAGGAGGUUAGUGCAAUGGCAUAAGCUAGCUUGACUGCGAGCGUGACGGCGCGAGCAGGUGCGAAAGCAGGUCAUAGUGAUCCGGUGGUUCUGAAUGGAAGGGCCAUCGCUCAACGGAUAAAAGGUACUCCGGGGAUAACAGGCUGAUACCGCCCAAGAGUUCAUAUCGACGGCGGUGUUUGGCACCUCGAUGUCGGCUCAUCACAUCCUGGGGCUGAAGUAGGUCCCAAGGGUAUGGCUGUUCGCCAUUUAAAGUGGUACGCGAGCUGGGUUUAGAACGUCGUGAGACAGUUCGGUCCCUAUCUGCCGUGGGCGCUGGAGAAUUGAGGGGGGCUGCUCCUAGUACGAGAGGACCGGAGUGGACGCAUCACUGGUGUUCGGGUUGUCAUGCCAAUGGCACUGCCCGGUAGCUAAAUGCGGAAGAGAUAAGUGCUGAAAGCAUCUAAGCACGAAACUUGCCCCGAGAUGAGUUCUCCCUGAGACUAUAAGUCUCCUGAAGGAACGUUGAAGACGACGACGUUGAUAGGCCGGGUGUGUAAGCGCAGCGAUGCGUUGAGCUAACCGGUACUAAUGAACCGUGAGGCUUAACCUU
This 2760-nucleotide ribosomal RNA is filed under the name Klebsiella variicola. RNAcentral's name for it is "partial 23S ribosomal RNA". It matches the Rfam family "Bacterial large subunit ribosomal RNA". Lineage: Bacteria; Pseudomonadati; Pseudomonadota; Gammaproteobacteria; Enterobacterales; Enterobacteriaceae. RNAcentral also lists the same sequence under 1 other name. The record is from RNAcentral.